RNAcentral lists this ribosomal RNA (301 nucleotides) under uncultured bacterium. RNAcentral describes it as "partial 16S ribosomal RNA". It matches the Rfam family "Bacterial small subunit ribosomal RNA", at positions 509 to 807 of the family's 1533-position model. The record is from RNAcentral.
CAGCCGCCACGGUAACACGGAGGGUGCAAGCGUUAAUCGGAAUUACUGGGCGUAAAGCGCACGCAGGCGGUCUGACAAGUCAGAUGUGAAAUCCCCGGGCUUAACCUGGGAACUGCAUUUGAAACUGUCAGGCUGGAGUCUUGUAGAGGGGGGUAGAAUUCCAGGUGUAGCGGUGAAAUGCGUAGAGAUCUGGAGGAAUACCGGUGGCGAAGGCGGCCCCCUGGACAAAGACUGACGCUCAGGUGCGAAAGCGUGGGGAGCAAACAGGAUUAGAUACCCCAGUAGUCCCUGUCUCUUAUAC